This 355-nucleotide long non-coding RNA is filed under the name Eucalyptus grandis. RNAcentral's name for it is "long non-coding RNA (EGRA_LNC004083)". Lineage: Eukaryota; Viridiplantae; Streptophyta; Magnoliopsida; Myrtales; Myrtaceae. The record is from RNAcentral.
UUUGACUGACAUGUAAUCGACUUAGUCAAUUGACCAGUGCUUGAUCGGAUGUUGUGAAUUGUUUGAAUAUCUGUGUUUAACCUUGAAUUGCAGGUUGGAACUGAGGCCAAGGUAAGUUUUCUGACUUGUGUUGUGCUUAGGCAACUGUAUGGCGUAUUAGUUUACUAAUCGAGUCUUAGGGGGUAGGACUCGCUGAGACGUGGUCUCAUUGGUUAUUGAAUAACCAUUUCAAGACCCUGAGGAAAAGCUGAGGAGGAAGAACCUGAAGGGGAGAAAGUAUUUUGAAGUAGAAGAUGAUCCAGAGAGGGAUCUUGAGUACAACCCAAAUGUGGAUUGAGAUCCCAUCCCUUUUGUG